CCAGUCCCGAGGGGACGGGGCUCCAACCUCACCUUCCUGCUGUCGUGGAGAAGAAAAGUGGUAAUGACCGCUACUGUGCACUGGGCUCUCGCUCUGUGCUUUGCUUGUGUUUGCUCAGUUAAUCCUCCCAACAUGCCUCUAAGCUUUCCCCUGAGAGGCCUCACACUUGAACUUAGAGGAAGAGUGAGUGGCCCUGGAGCUGGGCCUUCCAGUAGGAGCAGGGUUUCUGCAGGGAAGCAGAGAGAGGAGCCCGGGAGAAGGCACACGGGUUCUUCUCAGCCACCGUCAACAACCCCAGCUGCUACCAAGGAGGUGUGCUGAAUGUCCCAUUCCCCGGUGCUGCCAGCUCCUCAGAGCUCUGAUCACAAGCGCUUGCCCAGUGCCUGGCAUAGAGGCGGCCAUAGCUGGACUCCUACCCUGUUCCAGGCACUGAACCUUCAUUUGCCCUGAGACGUCAGGGUGGUCUUAGGACCAUGUUUCCAGGGAGGACACAGAGGCACAGGGGCAUGAGGACCCUGCCCUGGGUGGUGGCAGAGCUGGGAUUUGAACCCGGGUUUGCAUGACUCCCAGCCCUGUUCCUGUCCUCUCAGGGGCUGCACCCUCCCCCUGCCCCUUCCUCCUCCCCCUCCUACCAGGCAGGGCUGAGCCAGACUGGGGUUCCAAAGCCCUUCCUCCUUCUCGAUCCAGAGAUAAAUAUUUGUUUCUCCAGUGUAAAUAGCCCUUCGUGUUUAAUGAGGCAAUCCUAGGGCCAUUUCCUGGCACGGCUCAGGGCCUGGAGGUCUUUCUCGCUCUGGGAGGAACAGUCCUAGGAGGAGAGCCGCUGAGGAGGGGCUCAGGGCCUCUGAGAAAAUCCUUCCAUUUACAG
This 865-nucleotide long non-coding RNA is filed under the name Homo sapiens (human). RNAcentral describes it as "HSALNT0003016". The record is from RNAcentral. Lineage: Eukaryota; Metazoa; Chordata; Mammalia; Primates; Hominidae.